CCUACGGGUGGCAGCAGUGGGAAAUAUUGCACAAUGGGGGGAACCCUGAUGCAGCGACGCCGCGUGAGUGAAGAAGUCUUUCGGUAUGUAAAGCUCUAUCAGCAGGGAAGAAAAUGACGGUACCUGACUGAGAAGCCUCGGCUAACUACGUGCCAGCCGCCGCCGUAAUUCGUAGGGGGCAAGCGUUAUCCGGAUGUAAGGGGUGUAAAGGGGGCGCAGCCGGCGGUGCAAGUCUGGAGGGAAGGCGGGGGCCCAAACCCCGGACUGCUCUGGAAACUGUAAGGCUGGAGUGCAGGAGAGGGAAGCGGAAGUCCGAGUGUAGCGGUGAAAUGCGUAGAUAUUAGGAGGAACACCAGUGGCGAAGGCGGCUUACUGGACUGCAACUGACGUUGAGGCGCGAAAGCGUGGGGAGCAAACAGGAGUAGAUACCCGGGUAGUC
RNAcentral lists this ribosomal RNA (439 nucleotides) under uncultured bacterium. Its description in RNAcentral is "partial 16S ribosomal RNA". It matches the Rfam family "Bacterial small subunit ribosomal RNA", at positions 338 to 795 of the family's 1533-position model. The record is from RNAcentral.